This 429-nucleotide ribosomal RNA is filed under the name Actinomycetes bacterium. Its description in RNAcentral is "Actinobacteria bacterium partial 16S ribosomal RNA". It matches the Rfam family "Bacterial small subunit ribosomal RNA", at positions 355 to 776 of the family's 1533-position model. The record is from RNAcentral. Lineage: Bacteria; Bacillati; Actinomycetota; Actinomycetes.
UAGGGAAUCUUCCGCAAUGGGCGAAAGCCUGACGGAGCAACGCCGCGUGAGUGAUGAAGGUCUUCGGAUCGUAAAACUCUGUUAUUAGGGAAGAACAAAUGUGUAAGUAACUAUGCACGUCUUGACGGUACCUAAUCAGAAAGCCACGGCUAACUACGUGCCAGCAGCCGCGGUAAUACGUAGGUGGCAAGCGUUAUCCGGAAUUAUUGGGCGUAAAGCGCGCGUAGGCGGUUUUUUAAGUCUGAUGUGAAAGCCCACGGCUCAACCGUGGAGGGUCAUUGGAAACUGGAAAACUUGAGUGCAGAAGAGGAAAGUGGAAUUCCAUGUGUAGCGGUGAAAUGCGCAGAGAUAUGGAGGAACACCAGUGGCGAAGACGACUUUCUGGUCUGUAACUGACGCUGAUGUGCGAAAGCGUGGGGAUCAAACAGG